Molecule: small RNA, 495 nt
Filed under: Pan troglodytes (chimpanzee)
Lineage: Eukaryota; Metazoa; Chordata; Mammalia; Primates; Hominidae
Description: processed transcript
Source: RNAcentral
AGGCUUCUCCACCAUUUGCUCUCUGAUGUUCGGUGCGAUUUCUCUUCUCCUCAAGACAGUGCCCCUGGCUCCUGCGACACCCUCCCAAUCCGGGAACAACUUAAGGAACGCCGAGGUGCCAAGCAUGUAACCUGAGAUUGAUGAGCCUGUCAGCGGUUCCUUCUGCCCCCAGCCUUCCCCCUCUGCUGUGUGCUCUUCAGAUGGAUGAGCCAGGCGGGGGUGGGCAAGAAGGGGGAGAUGGAGGAAGGGACCCGCGGAGCCUCGAGCCAGAAGUGGAGCUUCCCCUGAAGAAGGAUGGGUUCACCUCAGAAAGCACCACGCUGGAAGCCUUGCUCCGUGGCGAGGGGGUUGAGAAGAAGGUGGAUGCCAGGGAGGAGGAAAGCAUCCAGGAAAUACAGAGGGUUUUGGAAAAUGAUGAAAAUGUAGAAGAAGGGAAUGAAGAAGAGGAUUUGGAAGAGGAUAUUCCCAAGCGAAAGAACAGGACUAGAGGACGGG